This 28-nucleotide non-coding RNA is filed under the name Rattus norvegicus (Norway rat). The record is from RNAcentral. Lineage: Eukaryota; Metazoa; Chordata; Mammalia; Rodentia; Muridae.
UUGGUGACAGACAUUCCUUCCACCUUGA